Molecule: non-coding RNA, 125 nt
Organism: Brassica napus (rape)
Lineage: Eukaryota; Viridiplantae; Streptophyta; Magnoliopsida; Brassicales; Brassicaceae
Source: Rfam
GUAAUAUAAGAACCCGUCUCUUAAAUUUUAACUACGAAAGCUAAGAACCGGCUCUUAAAUAAAAGUUUUAAGAAUCAGUUUUUAGCUUUUGUAGUUAAAAGUUUAGAGACGGAUUCUUAUAUUUU